Molecule: ribosomal RNA, 547 nt
Filed under: uncultured archaeon
Lineage: Archaea
Description: bacterial SSU rRNA
Rfam family: Archaeal small subunit ribosomal RNA
Source: RNAcentral
CGGGGUGCAGCAGGCGCGAAAACUUUACAAUGCUGGAAACAGCGAUAAGGGGACCUCGAGUGCCAGGUUACAAAUCUGGCUGUCGUGAUGCCUAAAAAGCAUUGCAUAGCAAGGGCCGGGCAAGACCGGUGCCAGCCGCCGCGGUAACACCGGCGGCUCGAGUGGUAACCGUUAUUAUUGGGUCUAAAGGGUCUGUAGCCGGCCGGAUAAGUCUCUUGGGAAAUCCAGCAGCUCAACUGUUGGGCUUUCAGGAGAUACUGUCUGGCUCGAGGCCGGGAGAGGUGAGAGGUACUUCAGGGGUAGGGGUGAAAUCUUGUAAUCCUUGAAGGACCACCAGUGGCGAAGGCGUCUCACCAGAACGGACCUGACGGCAAGGGACGAAAGCUAGGGGCACGAACCGGAUUAGAUACCCGGGUAGUCCUAGCCGUAAACGAUACUCGCUAGGUGUCGGCCACGGUGCGACCGUUGUCGGUGCCGUAGGGAAGCCGUGAAGCGAGCCACCUGGGAAGUACGGCCGCAAGGCUGAAACUUAAAGGAAUUGGCGGGG